Molecule: ribosomal RNA, 293 nt
Filed under: Staphylococcus aureus
Lineage: Bacteria; Bacillati; Bacillota; Bacilli; Caryophanales; Staphylococcaceae
Description: partial 16S ribosomal RNA
Rfam family: Bacterial small subunit ribosomal RNA
Source: RNAcentral
UAAGGUAACGGCUUACCAAGGCAACGAUGCAUAGCCGACCUGAGAGGGUGAUCGGCCACACUGGAACUGAGACACGGUCCAGACUCCUACGGGAGGCAGCAGUAGGGAAUCUUCCGCAAUGGGCGAAAGCCUGACGGAGCAACGCCGCGUGAGUGAUGAAGGUCUUCGGAUCGUAAAACUCUGUUAUUAGGGAAGAACAUAUGUGUAAGUAACUGUGCACAUCUUGACGGUACCUAAUCAGAAAGCCACGGCUAACUACGUGCCAGCAGCCGCGGUAAUACGUAGGUGGCAAG